AAGUCGUAACAAGGUUUUCCGUAGGUGCAACCUGCGGAAGGAUCAUUAAAGAGAUAGGGUCUUUCAUGGCCCGACCCUCCAACCCUCGGUGGUUGUUAUAACUACCUUGUUCGCUUUGGCGGGACCGUCUCGGUCUCCGAGCGCACUAACCCUCGGGGGUUGGUGAUAGCCGCCCGCCAGACGUCCAACCAAACUCUUGUAUUGAAAGCCAGUCGCUGAGUAUAAAAUUUUAUUCAAUAAAA
This 242-nucleotide unclassified non-coding RNA is filed under the name plant metagenome. RNAcentral describes it as "partial contains small subunit ribosomal RNA and internal transcribed spacer 1". The record is from RNAcentral.